UACGAAGGGGGGCUAGCGUUGCUCGGAUUGACUGGGCGUAAAGGGCGCGUAGGCGGUUCGUACAGUCAGACGUGAAAUUCCUGGGCUCAACCUGGGGGGCUGCAUUUGAUACGUUCGGACUAGAGUGGGGGAAGAGGGUCGUGGAAUUCCGCGUGUAGCAGUGAAAUGCGUAGAUAUGCGGAGGAACACCGAUGCGAAGGCAAUCCCCUGGGCCUGCACUGACGCUCAUGCACGAAAAGCGUGGGGGAGCAAACAGG
Molecule: ribosomal RNA, 257 nt
Filed under: uncultured bacterium
Lineage: Bacteria
Description: partial 16S ribosomal RNA
Rfam family: Bacterial small subunit ribosomal RNA
Source: RNAcentral